CCUACGGAGGGCUGCAGUGGGGAAUAUUGGACAAUGGGCGAAAGCCUGAUCCAGCCAUGCCGCGUGUGUGAAGAAGGCCUUCGGGUUGUAAAGCACUUUCAGUGGGGAAGAAAGCCUUGGGGCUAAUACCCUCGAGGAAGGACAUCACCCACAGAAGAAGCACCGGCUAACUCCGUGCCAGCAGCCGCGGUAAUACGGAGGGUGCGAGCGUUAAUCGGAAUUACUGGGCGUAAAGCGCGCGUAGGCGGUCUGAUAAGCCGGUUGUGAAAGCCCCGGGCUCAACCUGGGAACGGCAUCCGGAACUGUCAGGCUAGAGUGCAGGAGAGGAAGGUAGAAUUCCCGGUGUAGCAGUGAAAUGCGUAGAGAUCGGGAGGAAUACCAGUGGCGAAGGCGGCCUUCUGGACUGACACUGACGCUGAGGUGCGAAAGCGUGGGUAGCAAACAGGAUUAGAUACCCCAGUAGUC
RNAcentral lists this ribosomal RNA (465 nucleotides) under Vreelandella stevensii. RNAcentral describes it as "partial 16S ribosomal RNA". It matches the Rfam family "Bacterial small subunit ribosomal RNA", at positions 338 to 795 of the family's 1533-position model. The record is from RNAcentral. Lineage: Bacteria; Pseudomonadati; Pseudomonadota; Gammaproteobacteria; Oceanospirillales; Halomonadaceae.